GGAAGCGUGGCUGAGAGGCCGAAAGCACUCGGUUGCUAACUGAGCGUAGGGGAACCCUACCGUGGGUUCGAAUCCCACCGCUUCCGCCA
Molecule: transfer RNA, 89 nt
Filed under: Paracoccaceae bacterium
Lineage: Bacteria; Pseudomonadati; Pseudomonadota; Alphaproteobacteria; Rhodobacterales; Paracoccaceae
Description: Rhodobacteraceae bacterium (stromatolite metagenome) tRNA-Ser
Rfam family: tRNA
About the family: Transfer RNA (tRNA) molecules are approximately 80 nucleotides in length. Their secondary structure includes four short double-helical elements and three loops (D, anti-codon, and T loops).
Source: RNAcentral